CCCAAAUUCGAGGAGGAAGGUGCAAAGUGGUGGGAGGCUGCGGGUCUCCCGGAGGGUGAGGCGUUGGGGACCAGGCGGGAGCACAGCCGAACCCCUACCUUUCGGGCGGGGCGGACACCAGCCGCGCGCCCUCGCCGGGCGCCGGGACCGGAAAAUCACCGCGAAGGGAGGGACGAGGAAAGGCGGCGGGUGGCUUCAGGACAAGGACUUUGUGAUUACAUUGGGCCCAUCCAGAUCAUCCAGGAUCAUCUUCCCAUCUCAAGAUUCUUCACUUAAUCACAUCUGCAAAAUUCCUUUUGCUGUGUAAGCUGUGAGAUAUCGGUGGGCGAGGAUGUGAUGCCUGAAGAUGUGGCAUCUACCUUGAAACAGUCAAGGACCUGAGGAUGAAGCCAGCAUCUGAGGAAGACAGACAGAAAGGAUCUGGAUACAUCAUGAGCCUGAAAAGUAUCUUGCAUACACAACUGGCAGCACAGAAUCCUGACAAACCUCUCAUCAGAAAUCAACCACAGACUCUUUAUGCUCUUACCAAAAUGCUGGCUUUGAGAACUAAUUAUGAAUGAAAAUUACUGAUGUGAUUUUCAGUCCACAGGGCCUGAAAAUUGCUUCCAGCAACUGACAAGUUCAUCCCCUUCCAACUGGUCUGACAAGCCCUGAGGAAGGAGGAAGACAGUGAUAUCCACCCCCCGCUGCCC
This 692-nucleotide long non-coding RNA is filed under the name Homo sapiens (human). RNAcentral describes it as "HSALNT0057484". The record is from RNAcentral. Lineage: Eukaryota; Metazoa; Chordata; Mammalia; Primates; Hominidae.